This 333-nucleotide ribosomal RNA is filed under the name uncultured bacterium. RNAcentral describes it as "bacterial SSU rRNA". It matches the Rfam family "Bacterial small subunit ribosomal RNA", at positions 8 to 334 of the family's 1533-position model. The record is from RNAcentral.
AGGGUUUGAUUAUGGCUCAGGACGAACGCUGGCGGCGUGCCUAACACAUGCAAGUCGAACGGAGUUGAAAGGAGCUUGCUUUUUUCAACUCAGUGGCGGACGGGUGAGUAACGCGUGAGUAACCUGCCUUUCAGAGGGGGAUAACGUUCUGAAAAGAACGCUAAUACCGCAUAAGAUUGUAGUUUCGCAUGGAGCAGCAAUCAAAGGAGCAAUCCGCUGAAAGAUGGACUCGCGUCCGAUUAGAUAGUUGGCGGGGUAACGGCCCACCAAGUCGACGAUCGGUAGCCGGACUGAGAGGUUGAUCGGCCACAUUGGGACUGAGACACGGCCCAG